Molecule: ribosomal RNA, 497 nt
Filed under: uncultured bacterium
Lineage: Bacteria
Description: partial 16S ribosomal RNA
Rfam family: Bacterial small subunit ribosomal RNA
Source: RNAcentral
GAUGAACGCUGGCGGCGUGCCUAAUACAUGCAAGUCGAGCGAACGGACGAGAAGCUUGCUUCUCUGAUGUUAGCGGCGGACGGGUGAGUAACACGUGGAUAACCUACCUAUAAGACUGGGAUAACUUCGGGAAACCGUAGCUAAUACCGGAUAAUAUUUUGAACCGCAUGGUUCAAAAGUGAAAGACGGUCUUGCUGUCACUUAUAGAUGGAUCCGCGCUGCAUUAGCUAGUUGGUAAGGUAACGGCUUACCAAGGCAACGAUGCAUAGCCGACCUGAGAGGGUGAUCGGCCACACUGGAACUGCGACACGGUCCAGACUCCUACGGGAGGCCGCAGUAGGGAAUCUUCCGCAAUGGGCGGAAGCCUGACGGAGCAACGCCGCGUGAGUGAUGAAGGUCUUCGGAUCGUAAAACUCUGUUAUUAGGGAAGAACAUAUGUGUAAGUAACUGUGCAAAUCUUGACGGUACCUAAUCAGAAAGCCACGGCUAACUACGUG